Molecule: ribosomal RNA, 439 nt
Filed under: Rhodotorula paludigena
Lineage: Eukaryota; Fungi; Basidiomycota; Microbotryomycetes; Sporidiobolales; Sporidiobolaceae
Description: eukaryotic LSU rRNA
Rfam family: Eukaryotic large subunit ribosomal RNA
Source: RNAcentral
AAACUAACAAGGAUUCCCCUAGUAGCGGCGAGCGAAGCGGGAAGAGCUCAAAUUUAUAAUCUGGCACUUUCAGUGUCCGAAGUUGUAAUCUCUAGAAGUGUUUUCCGCGUUGGACCGCACACAAGUCUGUUGGAAUACAGCGGCACAGUGGUGACACCCCCGUACACGGUGCGGACGCCCAGCGCUUUGUGAUACACUUUCGAAGAGUCGAGUUGUUUGGGAAUGCAGCUCAAAUUGGGUGGUAAAUUCCAUCUAAAGCUAAAUAUUGGCGAGAGACCGAUAGCGAACAAGUACCGUGAGGGAAAGAUGAAAAGCACUUUGGAAAGAGAGUUAACAGUACGUGAAAUUGUUGGAAGGGAAACGCUUGAAGUCAGACUUGCUUGCCGGAGCUUGCUUCGGUUUGCAGGCCAGCAUCAGUUUUCCGGGGUGGAUAAUGGCG